AUUCGAACCCACGACCUUGUUGGUGUGAGUCAACAGUGCUAACCACUGCAACAAAGAGCAAAUGAUUAACACGGAGGUGCGACGACAUUUAAACGAAGGCAGAGAGAGAAACAUGAAAGCCAACAAACAUAAGCAAGUGCAUUGCAAAAAGCUAUGAUAGCUAAGCAUUCAAAGCAUUUUCUGGUGAGUGUUUGGCGUCAUUGUAAUAUUCCAGAUGAAGACCAGCGAGAUGCAAUUAAGCUCUCCUGCUGAUUUGGAUGAUGAGGGAAACACUGAGCUGCUUUGUGGCUCAUCAAUGCGGCCUAUUGUCAAGAGAGGUUACAUCAUCGCCAGCACAUAAACAAAGACCGGCUACACAUCUCACUGCUCAUCUUCAAAGAGCUUUGAUAGAAACACAGAGUCCAGGAUUUUGGUGCUUUGGUACACUAAGACAGAAAUGUCGCCCUCUUGGUCACGUUCAGUCCGUUUGUUUUUUCUGUGCAUGUGUGUGUAAAGCGCCUUGAGGUGACUUUUGUUGUGAUUUGGCGCUAUAUAAAUAAAAUUGAAUUGAAUUGUUUGUGCAUGCAUGUAACUUCACACACACACAAAAUCUGUGGGAAACUGUUUGGCGGUCUGCACAAGCAUCAAGCGUCAAAGCCUCUGCAAAAAGCUUGAUUAGCAUACCUGCAAGCUGAUCGUGCAUGACUUUGAUAAUUAUCUUUUUUUUUUUUUUUUUUUUUAUAGAAGCAGUAACUGUUUUUAGACCAUUCUGUGAGACGGGAACAAACUGUAAACAGCAAACAGUUGCUCAUUUACACUGGAAGGUCAAUGUGUAUCCUCUCAUAGCUCAGCUUUUGCGCUACAGGAAAUAAUACAUCUGCUGUGCUUCACUAUGCUGUGAAAUUUCAGUUGUUUAGAGACACAUUUACACAAAAAUCAAGGCACCACAAGUCAUUUGAGGAAGUGCCUCUAUAAGCUUUCUAAACCCCAGGAGCUCUAGACAAAUCGUUUAGCCACUGAUCACCAUUUCAGAAGCUAUUAAGUUAUUAGACAAGCAUUAAGACACGAGACGAAGCCUCGCAUUUCUGCUCUGUGAGGAAACUUUAUUGCUUUGGUUCAUGCAGCUGUUGAACCCUCAGACAGCUGCAUGGUCUGAAUAAAAAUGCGAGAAUCCUGAGAGAUUUUGAAAAUAAUUACAAUGAGAAUAGACCGGUUUGGAGCCUUUUUCUCAGUUAAGAUGGAUCUGG
This is a long non-coding RNA of Astatotilapia calliptera (eastern happy), 1226 nucleotides long. The record is from Ensembl. NCBI's taxonomy places the organism in Eukaryota, Metazoa, Chordata, Actinopteri, Cichliformes, Cichlidae.